GCGCUCGUAGUUCAAAUGGAUAGAGCACCGGGCUUCGAUCCCGUAGGUUGCAGGUUCGAGCCCUGCCGAGCGCA
RNAcentral lists this transfer RNA (74 nucleotides) under Pseudaminobacter salicylatoxidans. It matches the Rfam family "tRNA". Rfam says of the family: Transfer RNA (tRNA) molecules are approximately 80 nucleotides in length. Their secondary structure includes four short double-helical elements and three loops (D, anti-codon, and T loops). Lineage: Bacteria; Pseudomonadati; Pseudomonadota; Alphaproteobacteria; Hyphomicrobiales; Phyllobacteriaceae. The record is from Rfam by way of RNAcentral.